Molecule: ribosomal RNA, 253 nt
Filed under: uncultured bacterium
Lineage: Bacteria
Description: partial 16S ribosomal RNA
Rfam family: Bacterial small subunit ribosomal RNA
Source: RNAcentral
UACGAAGGGGGCUAGCGUUGUUCGGAAUUACUGGGCGUAAAGCGCACGUAGGCGGGUUUGUAAGUAAGGGGUGAAAUCCCAGGGCUCAACCCUGGAACUGCCUCUUAGACUGCAAGCCUGGAGGUCAGGAGAGGCGAGUGGAAUACCGAGUGUAGAGGUGAAAUUCGUAGAUAUUCGGUGGAACACCAGUGGCGAAGGCGACUCGCUGGACUGAUACUGACGCUGAGGUGCGAAAGCGUGGGGAGCAAACAGG